GACGAACGCUGGCGGCGUGCCUAAUACAUGCAAGUAGAACGCACAGUUUAUACCGUAGCUUGCUACACCAUAGACUGUGAGUUGCGAACGGGUGAGUAACGCGUAGGUAACCUGCCUGGUAGCGGGGGAUAACUAUUGGAAACGAUAGCUAAUACCGCAUAAUAUUAAUUAUUGCAUGAUAAUUAAUUGAAAGGUGCAAUUGCACCACUACCAGAUGGACCUGCGUUGUAUUAGCUAGUAGGUGAGGUAACGGCUCACCUAGGCGACGAUACAUAGCCGACCUGAGAGGGUGAUCGGCCACACUGGGACUGAGACACGGCCCAGACUCCUACGGGAGGCAGCAGUAGGGAAUCUUCGGCAAUGGACGAAAGUCUGACCGAGCAACGCCGCGUGAGUGAAGAAGGUUUUCGGAUCGUAAAGCUCUGUUGUAAGAGAAGAACGGGUGUGAGAGUGGAAAGCUCACACUGGACG
Molecule: ribosomal RNA, 471 nt
Filed under: Streptococcus gordonii
Lineage: Bacteria; Bacillati; Bacillota; Bacilli; Lactobacillales; Streptococcaceae
Description: bacterial SSU rRNA
Rfam family: Bacterial small subunit ribosomal RNA
Source: RNAcentral